UACGGAGGGUGCGAGCGUUGUCCGGAAUCAUUGGGCGUAAAGGGCGCGUAGGUGGCCCGGUCAGUUCGUGGUGAAAGCGCGGGGCUCAACCCUGCGUCGGCCAUGAAUACUGCCGCGGCUGGAGCACUGUAGAGGCAGGCGGAAUUCCGGGUGUAGCGGUGGAAUGCGUAGAGAUCCGGAAGAACACCGGUGGCGAAGGCGGCCUGCUGGGCAGUUCUGACACUGAGGCGCGACAGCGUGGGGAGCAAACAGG
RNAcentral lists this ribosomal RNA (253 nucleotides) under uncultured bacterium. Its description in RNAcentral is "partial 16S ribosomal RNA". It matches the Rfam family "Bacterial small subunit ribosomal RNA", at positions 524 to 776 of the family's 1533-position model. The record is from RNAcentral.